UUUAUACUCCUCCCGUCCCAAAAUUCUUGUCUUAGAUUAGUCUAGAUACGGAUGUAUCUAAUACUAAAACGUGACUUGAUACAUCCGUAUUUAUACAUAUAUAAGACAAGAAUUUUGGGACGGAGGGAGUACUUU
Triticum aestivum (bread wheat) is the source of this 135-nucleotide non-coding RNA. Lineage: Eukaryota; Viridiplantae; Streptophyta; Magnoliopsida; Poales; Poaceae. The record is from Rfam.